Long non-coding RNA from Hyaena hyaena (striped hyena), 741 nucleotides. RefSeq lists it as uncharacterized. The transcript is spliced from 3 exons. Lineage: Eukaryota; Metazoa; Chordata; Mammalia; Carnivora; Hyaenidae. The record is from RefSeq and is a predicted model, not a curated record.
ACUGCUUGAGUCUGUGCGGUCAGGCCCUGCACCCGGCGUCAUUGCGCGCCUGCUCCGGGCGUUCGCGGGCCUGCCCUUCCGAGAAGUGUCCCCGCGGACCAUAGGGGGCCGAGCUGACAGCCGCGGCGCCGGCACCGGGCCGGGUCACGCAAACGCAGCCGUUCAGUGGAACCUACCUGAAUCACGAGGAGUCCGGAAUGCAUCACUGCGUGUGCUGUGACAGCCCAUUCUUCAGCCAGGCUAAGUGUGCUGCUGGCACCAGGCAAGUCACAACUGCUAGGCUCAACCCAACCCUGACUCCAGCUCUGACAGUGGAAUUUCACGCAGUGACAGAGGGGCGGCCAUUUCCAUCGAAUUGACUUCUGUAGGCUUGCCCGGGACCAGAGGGCAUGACUCUUUGGGAACAGGGAGAAGCUGAUGGACUACGAGCCAGAAAAUUCCUACAAAACUCUCCUGAACUUUCCACUGUGGUGAAGCACUUGGUGGACAUAUACAGGUGGGGAUGGAGGGAAAAGAGGAAGUAGAUGCGGGAUUAGAGUAAUCAACAAUCUCAGCGUCGAAACAAGUGCCGAGGACGGGAGGUUGUGAGACAGCGGAGUUGGGGAGGCCCACGCAGUGAUCGGUGGGGUGUAUGAAUCUUCUUCGUAACUUUAGACUGUCUUGACCAUUCUGGUCUCAUGCUUUCUACCCACAAAUAAGUGCAAAUGGGAGCUUAUUAGAUUUCAGUGACUAAUGAGUAUA